Molecule: transfer RNA, 69 nt
Filed under: Hylopetes phayrei electilis
Lineage: Eukaryota; Metazoa; Chordata; Mammalia; Rodentia; Sciuridae
Description: tRNA-Ser
Rfam family: tRNA
About the family: Transfer RNA (tRNA) molecules are approximately 80 nucleotides in length. Their secondary structure includes four short double-helical elements and three loops (D, anti-codon, and T loops). Further hydrogen bonds mediate the characteristic L-shaped molecular structure. tRNAs have two regions of fundamental functional importance: the anti-codon, which is responsible for specific mRNA codon recognition, and the 3' end, to which the tRNAs corresponding amino acid is attached (by aminoacyl-tRNA synthetases). tRNAs cope with the degeneracy of the genetic code in two manners: having more than one tRNA (with a specific anti-codon) for a particular amino acid; and 'wobble' base-pairing, i.e. permitting non-standard base-pairing at the 3rd anti-codon position.
Source: RNAcentral
AAGAAAGUCAUAAUGGUUAUGGAGCUGGCUUGAAACUAGUUAUUGAAAGGUCGAUUCUUUCCUUUCUUG